Long non-coding RNA from Lagopus muta (rock ptarmigan), 1087 nucleotides. RefSeq lists it as uncharacterized. The record is from RefSeq and is a predicted model, not a curated record. NCBI's taxonomy places the organism in Eukaryota, Metazoa, Chordata, Aves, Galliformes, Phasianidae. The transcript has 3 exons.
GUGGGGAGGAGUCGGUGUGUGCGCAUGGCGCGGGUUGUUUGAACGUGGGGAAGCCGUACGCCGUCCAUUCGCGUGUCAAUGUAGCGAGGCGGCAGCUCGAUGAAUUUUAAUGUCGGAGAAGAAUAUGGACUGUAUGUGAAGGCAGGGAACCUGCUCUGUCGUUGUCAUCAUCGACCCCUGAUAUCACUUGGAGCAAGACAACCAAUGAUAGCAGUGACCCGACUCUGGAGUGGCAAGAAAGGAUGAAGAGAUAAGAAGGUGGAGUUCUCAGUGAAAUGUGAGAGGUUUUGUUAGUGUAUCUGUUCAUCUAUCAAAGCCCAGACUGCAGCCUUUUGUAAAUUGACUCUGCUCCUUUUCAUCUUUCAUAAAUUGCUUUAAAAAAUAGAGACAAAAGGCUGCCAACUGUGUUAGUUCCUGGAAAAAUCCUUCUUCUGUUUAAAUACAACUUUUAAGAGGCAUUUAAAAGUGAGAUGCAGCCAUGUGUGAAUGCCUGCAUACGUACCAAAGAGCUGCAUCACACUGAACACUUCCAACACUCUACAUGGUGACUGCUGCAGAGCAAUUGGUCCUUAUUCCAUUUUUCCUAGUGGAGCCUGCUUCAGGAUUGAGCUUGGCACUCAGCCACACUGGUUGCAUCACUGAGGUAAGUCUGGGUGCCUACAUCAACCGUCUCUCCCAAGUCGAUUCAACUUGGACAGUAGAGAUGUGCAGGUCUGCUGCAACGUCUGCAACCUUUUCUUUAUAUUCUUUUCAUUAUUAAGUACCAUUUCCUCAGUGCUAGGAGCUUUGCAGAAGAGGGUAAGGCACACAUUCUCUAAUGUUUAAUGUCACUCAUGCUGCUGUGGAGUCUUGUUCCAAUGGAUGACUGCAUGAAACCAGUUCUACUGUAGUUUUGUUGUCCUACUUCAGGUCAUAUAAGGUGUGAUGACAGGGAAUUCAGCUAUUAGUUUGUGUGGCAGACCCAGAGGCGGCAGAGCACAGUAAUUCUGCAGGUUCAUUCAUUAAAAAUUCUUCCUGCCCACGUGUUCAUGUGAACUGCAUUGACUUCCAAAGCAUGACUCUGCCCUGUAAUAUCACUUCAUGGGAG